This is a long non-coding RNA of Candoia aspera, 901 nucleotides long. RefSeq lists it as uncharacterized. NCBI's taxonomy places the organism in Eukaryota, Metazoa, Chordata, Lepidosauria, Squamata, Candoiidae. The record is from RefSeq and is a predicted model, not a curated record. The transcript is spliced from 2 exons.
UUUUGCUUUAAAGUUCUUUGAAAAUCAGGGUUAAGUGGGAUGCAGACCAUCUGUCUAAAUUUUCCAAAGCCUUUUUAUAUAAAUUAUUUUAGAUUUUAGUAUUAUUAGUCGCCUGAUAGGGUGAAAUUAGAGGCUGUAUUAUCUGAAACCUUGUAAUUAAUGUAUCUAAUUUUAAAAAUUUAAACAAUGGAGUAAGAAGACUAGUCAGUGCUUUGGAAUGCAAGGAGAAUUUAAUUUGGCCAUGCUGCCCUACCAGUAAGCUUCUCAGCCACUCCUACCAUAUUGCUGUUUUGCCUAGUGGAUAUCUUCUGUUAGCAUCAUAAAAAUUUCCAUCUUGCAAUGAAUAGCAAGUAGGAAAGAGUUAAAUCUCCUGUUCUCUAUGUCAUAGUUCAGAUUCUCAUUCUGUCUUUUUUCCCUCUGGGGACUGCUUUAAACUUUUAAUUGUAAUUGCAUAUUGUAAGACGUCUCUUGGCUCUUAGAUGUAACAUUCAUAAACAGUGAGCAGUAUCUCUUCAGGCUAUACAGUAGAUAGAAAUCUGCAUGAUUGACUCUUUCUCCAUACCCCUCACUGCCAGCAAAAGACUUAGAAAAGGCUAGGAUAUAAACUGGUUGUCCAAGGUGCUAGUUUUCGGUAAGCAAGGAUUUCUCUUUAUUGAGAAGAAAUGUAUGUAGUCAUGUGAGUCCCUCCUGCAACUGAAGUGGAACUACUCAGUAGGAGAUUUACCAUUUCAGGCUACAAUCAGGUUUGUGGUUGGCCACUCUAAGGCUGGUCUAUGUGCUGGAACAAUACACAUAGUUGUGAGAUACCCAACUUCAUACUUCCUGUCAUUCUGACAUAACUCAGGAGCAUGGCAAGUAAAUAGUUGCUUGCUUAGGACCUGUCCAGGAAUUUUCUUUAGUA